AGAGUUUGAUUCUGGCUCAGGACGAACGCUGGCGGCGUGCUUAACACAUGCAAGUCGAACGAUGAAGCCUAGCUUGCUAGGUGGAUUAGUGGCGAACGGGUGAGUAAUACGUGAGUAACCUACCUUUAACUCUGGGAUAAGCCCGGGAAACUGGGUCUAAUACCGGAUACGACCAAUCUCCGCAUGGGGUGUUGGUGGAAAGCGUUAUGUAGUGGUUAUAGAUGGGCUCACGGCCUAUCAGCUUGUUGGUGAGGUAACGGCUCACCAAGGCGACGACGGGUAGCCGGCCUGAGAGGGUGACCGGCCACACUGGGACUGAGACACGGCCCAGACUCCUACGGGAGGCAGCAGUGGGGAAUAUUGCACAAUGGGCGCAAGCCUGAUGCAGCGACGCCGCGUGAGGGAUGACGGCCUUCGGGUUGUAAACCUCUGUUAGCAGGGAAGAAGAGAGAUUGACGGUACCUGCAGAGAAAGCGCCGGCUAACUACGUGCCAGCAGCCGCGGUAAUACGUAGGGCGCGAGCGUUGUCCGGAAUUAUUGGGCGUAAAGAGCUUGUAGGCGGUUUGUCGCGUCUGCUGUGAAAGGCCGGAGCUUAACUCCGUGUAUUGCAGUGGGUACGGGCAGACUAGAGUGCAGUAGGGGAGACUGGAAUUCCUGGUGUAGCGGUGGAAUGCGCAGAUAUCAGGAGGAACACCGAUGGCGAAGGCAGGUCUCUGGGCUGUAACUGACGCUGAGAAGCGAAAGCAUGGGGAGCGAACAGGAUUAGAUACCCUGGUAGUCCAUGCCGUAAACGUUGGGCACUAGGUGUGGGGGACAUUCCACGUUUUCCGCGCCGUAGCUAACGCAUUAAGUGCCCCGCCUGGGGAGUACGGCCGCAAGGCUAAAACUCAAAGAAAUUGACGGGGGCCCGCAC
Molecule: ribosomal RNA, 913 nt
Filed under: human gut metagenome
Description: bacterial SSU rRNA
Rfam family: Bacterial small subunit ribosomal RNA
Source: RNAcentral